CCUAGCCAGUGUCUAGGCUAGUUCCCAAUCGGUCCAUGCGUCGGUGGUAACAACGGGGUGUGAAGCAGCUGAUAAAGCCCAAGGAAGCCUGCAACCACAAGCCGGUGACCGGG
Non-coding RNA from Leptolyngbya sp. Heron Island J, 113 nucleotides. NCBI's taxonomy places the organism in Bacteria, Bacillati, Cyanobacteriota, Cyanophyceae, Leptolyngbyales, Leptolyngbyaceae. The record is from Rfam.